Molecule: ribosomal RNA, 484 nt
Filed under: uncultured bacterium
Lineage: Bacteria
Description: bacterial SSU rRNA
Rfam family: Bacterial small subunit ribosomal RNA
Source: RNAcentral
GACGAACGCUGGCGGCGUGCCUAACACAUGCAAGUCGAACGGAGAUACUUUUGAGGAGACUUCGGUCAACGAGACUGUAUCUUAGUGGCGGACGGGUGAGUAACGCGUGAGCAAUCUGCCUUUCAGAGGGGGAUAACAUUCUGAAAAGAAUGCUAAUACCGCAUAACGUAUUCGGAUGGCAUCUUCUGAAUACCAAAGGAGCAAUCCGCUGAAAGAUGAGCUCGCGUCUGAUUAGAUAGUUGGUGGGGUAACGGCCUACCAAGUCGACGAUCAGUAGCCGGACUGAGAGGUUGAACGGCCACAUUGGGACUGAGACACGGCCCAGACUCCUACGGGAGGCAGCAGUGGGGAAUAUUGCACAAUGGGGGGAACCCUGAUGCAGCCAUGCCGCGUGUGUGAAGAAGUAUUUCGGUAUGUAAAGCUCUAUCAGCAGGGAAGAAAAUGACGGUACCUGACUAAGAAGCCCCGGCUAACUACGUGCCAG